Molecule: long non-coding RNA, 212 nt
Filed under: Lathyrus oleraceus (garden pea)
Lineage: Eukaryota; Viridiplantae; Streptophyta; Magnoliopsida; Fabales; Fabaceae
Description: Pisum sativum (pea) long non-coding RNA (PSAT_LNC039138)
Source: RNAcentral
UCAGUUGAGGUAAAAGGUCCAAUACCCAGACCAUGAGUGAAAAUCUAGGAUGAUUAGGAAUAGAGUGAUUCAUGGGAAGCGGGUGGUAUGGCGCCACUUAGCGGAACAUUGAUAUCACGAGCAGUUCAGACCCUGGUGGGAUACUGUCGUUACAUACUUCGGGUGUGUAUAUGAUAGUAUUUCUGCGAAAGGUUAUUUAUGCUGCGUUUCUC